ACUCAAAGGAAUUGACGGGGGCUCACACAAGCGGUGGAGGAUGUGGUUUAAUUCGAAGCAACGCGCAGAACCUUACCAGGUCUUGACAUACCGGGAUUAACCGUGUGAAAGCAUGGAGAUUGCCAGCAAUGGUGUAACCGGAACAGGUGCUGCAUGGCUGUCGUCAGCUCGUGCCGCGAGGUGUUAGGUUAAGUCCUUUAACGAGCGAAACCCCUACGUUUAGUUACCAGCGCGUCAUGGCGGGGACUCUAGACGGACUGCCGCGCAAGCAGGAGGAAGGUGGGGACGACGUCAAGUCAUCAUGGCCUUUAUGACCUGGGCCACACACGUCCUACAAUGGGUUCUACAAAGGGACGCAGAACCGUAAGGCGAAGCCAAUCCCCGAAAGGAACCCUCAGUUCAGAUUGUGGGCUGCAAUUCGCCCACAUGAAGCUGGAAUCGCUAGUAAUCGCGGAUCAGCCACGCCGCGGUGAAUUUGUUCCUGAGCCUUGUACACACCGCCCGU
Molecule: ribosomal RNA, 505 nt
Filed under: uncultured bacterium
Lineage: Bacteria
Description: partial 16S ribosomal RNA
Rfam family: Bacterial small subunit ribosomal RNA
Source: RNAcentral